Ribosomal RNA from Lepisosteus oculatus (spotted gar), 119 nucleotides. NCBI's taxonomy places the organism in Eukaryota, Metazoa, Chordata, Actinopteri, Semionotiformes, Lepisosteidae. The record is from Ensembl.
GCCAGUAGCCAUAUCACCCUGCAACUCACAAGUAGCAGCCCACUGAAGCUCAGCAGGUGUGAGCCUGGCCAGUACCUGGAUGGGAGACCUCCUGGGAAAAACUAAGGUUGCUGCUGGAA